ACGGGAGGCAGCAGUGGGGAAUAUUGCACAAUGGGGGAAACCCUGAUGCAGCGACGCCGCGUGAGUGAAGAAGUUAUUCGUAAUGUAAAGCUCUAUCAGCAGGGAAGAAAAUGACGGUACCUGACUAAGAAGCCCCGGCUAACUACGUGCCAGCAGCCGCGGUAAUACGAGGGGUGCAAGCGUUGUUCGGAAUCACUGGGCGUAAAGGGAGCGCAGGCGGAGAUGCAAGCAGUCUGUACAAUACCGGGGCCCAACCCCGGACCUGCAGACUGGACUGUUUCUCUUGGAUAGUUCAGGGGCAAGCGGAAUUCCUGGUGUAGCGGUGGAAUGCGUAGAGAUCAGGAAGAACACCGAUGGCGAAGGCAGCUUGCUGGGGACUUAUCGACGCUCAUGCUCGAAAGUGCGGGUAGCAAACAGGAUUAGAUACCCUGGUA
Molecule: ribosomal RNA, 434 nt
Filed under: uncultured Fibrobacter sp.
Lineage: Bacteria; Pseudomonadati; Fibrobacterota; Fibrobacteria; Fibrobacterales; Fibrobacteraceae
Description: partial 16S ribosomal RNA
Rfam family: Bacterial small subunit ribosomal RNA
Source: RNAcentral